CGGAGAUUGGGAAAGUUUGGUAAUCCGCUUGCUUUGGGAGCAAGAUAUCGAAGGUUCGAAUCCUUCAUCUCCGA
This 74-nucleotide transfer RNA is filed under the name Vibrio phage 1.210.O._10N.222.52.C2. RNAcentral describes it as "tRNA-Pro". It matches the Rfam family "tRNA". From Rfam's summary of the family: Transfer RNA (tRNA) molecules are approximately 80 nucleotides in length. Their secondary structure includes four short double-helical elements and three loops (D, anti-codon, and T loops). Further hydrogen bonds mediate the characteristic L-shaped molecular structure. tRNAs have two regions of fundamental functional importance: the anti-codon, which is responsible for specific mRNA codon recognition, and the 3' end, to which the tRNAs corresponding amino acid is attached (by aminoacyl-tRNA synthetases). tRNAs cope with the degeneracy of the genetic code in two manners: having more than one tRNA (with a specific anti-codon) for a particular amino acid; and 'wobble' base-pairing, i.e. permitting non-standard base-pairing at the 3rd anti-codon position. The record is from RNAcentral. Lineage: Duplodnaviria; Heunggongvirae; Uroviricota; Caudoviricetes.